AGCGUACACGGUGGAUGCCCUGGCAGUCAGAGGCGAUGAAGGACGUGCUAAUCUGCGAAAAGCGUCGGUAAGGUGAUAUGAACCGUUAUAACCGGCGAUGUCCGAAUGGGGAAACCCAGUGCAAUUCGUUGCACUAUCGUUAACUGAAUACAUAGGUUAACGAGGCGAACCGGGGGAACUGAAACAUCUAAGUACCCCGAGGAAAAGAAAUCAACCGAGAUUCCCCCAGUAGCGGCGAGCGAACGGGGAGCAGCCCAGAGUCUGAAUCAGCUUGUGUGUUAGUGGAACGGUCUGGAAAGUCCGACGGUACAGGGUGAUAGUCCCGUACACCAAAAUGCACAGGCUGUGAACUCGAAGAGUAGGGCGGGACACGUGGUAUCCUGUCUGAAUAUGGGGGGACCAUCCUCCAAGGCUAAAUACUCCUGACUGACCGAUAGUGAACCAGUACCGUGAGGGAAAGGCGAAAAGAACCCCGGCGAGGGGAGUGAAAAAGAACCUGAAACCGUGUACGUACAAGCAGUGGGAGCACCUUCGGGUGUGACUGCGUACCUUUUGUAUAAUGGGUCAGCGACUUAUAUUCUGUAGCAAGGUUAACCGUAUAGGGGAGCCGCAGGGAAACCGAGUCUUAACUGGGCGUUAAGUUGCAGGGUAUAGACCCGAAACCCGGUGAUCUAGCCAUGGGCAGGUUGAAGGUUGGGUAACACUAACUGGAGGACCGAACCGACUAAUGUUGAAAAAUUAGCGGAUGACUUGUGGCUGGGGGUGAAAGGCCAAUCAAACCGGGAGAUAGCUGGUUCUCCCCGAAAGCUAUUUAGGUAGCGCCUCGUGAAUUCAUCUUCGGGGGUAGAGCACUGUUUCGGCUAGGGGGUCAUCCCGACUUACCAACCCGAUGCAAACUACGAAUACCGAAGAAUGUUAUCACGGGAGACACACGGCGGGUGCUAACGUCCGUCGUGAAGAGGGAAACAACCCAGACCGCCAGCUAAGGUCCCAAAGUCAUGGUUAAGUGGGAAACGAUGUGGGAAGGCACAGACAGCCAGGAUGUUGGCUUAGAAGCAGCCAUCAUUUAAAGAAAGCGUAAUAGCUCACUGGUCGAGUCGGCCUGCGCGGAAGAUGUAACGGGGCUAAACCAUGCACCGAAGCUGCGGCAGCGACACUAUGUGUUGUUGGGUAGGGGAGCGUUCUGUAAGCCUGCGAAGGUGACCUGUGAGGGUUGCUGGAGGUAUCAGAAGUGCGAAUGCUGACAUAAGUAACGAUAAAGCGGGUGAAAAGCCCGCUCGCCGGAAGACCAAGGGUUCCUGUCCAACGUUAAUCGGGGCAGGGUGAGUCGACCCCUAAGGCGAGGCCGAAAGGCGUAGUCGAUGGGAAACAGGUUAAUAUUCCUGUACUUGGUGUUACUGCGAAGGGGGGACGGAGAAGGCUAUGUUAGCCGGGCGACGGUUGUCCCGGUUUAAGCAUGUAGGCUGGUUAUCCAGGCAAAUCCGGAUAAUCAAGGCUGAGGUGUGAUGACGAGGCACUACGGUGCUGAAGUAACAAAUGCCCUGCUUCCAGGAAAAGCCUCUAAGCAUCAGGUAACAUCAAAUCGUACCCCAAACCGACACAGGUGGUCAGGUAGAGAAUACCAAGGCGCUUGAGAGAACUCGGGUGAAGGAACUAGGCAAAAUGGUGCCGUAACUUCGGGAGAAGGCACGCUGGUGUGUAGGUGAAGUCCCUGCGGAUGGAGCUGAGACCAGUCGAAGAUACCAGCUGGCUGCAACUGUUUAUUAAAAACACAGCACUGUGCAAACACGAAAGUGGACGUAUACGGUGUGACGCCUGCCCGGUGCCGGAAGGUUAAUUGAUGGGGUUAUCCGUAAGGAGAAGCUCUUGAUCGAAGCCCCGGUAAACGGCGGCCGUAACUAUAACGGUCCUAAGGUAGCGAAAUUCCUUGUCGGGUAAGUUCCGACCUGCACGAAUGGCGUAAUGAUGGCCAGGCUGUCUCCACCCGAGACUCAGUGAAAUUGAACUCGCUGUGAAGAUGCAGUGUACCCGCGGCAAGACGGAAAGACCCCGUGAACCUUUACUAUAGCUUGACACUGAACAUUGAGCCUUGAUGUGUAGGAUAGGUGGGAGGCUUUGAAGCGUGGACGCCAGUCUGCGUGGAGCCAACCUUGAAAUACCACCCUUUAAUGUUUGAUGUUCUAACGUUGGCCCCUGACCGGGGUUGCGGACAGUGUCUGGUGGGUAGUUUGACUGGGGCGGUCUCCUCCCAAAGCGUAACGGAGGAGCACGAAGGUUAGCUAAUCCUGGUCGGACAUCAGGAGGUUAGUGCAAUGGCAUAAGCUAGCUUGACUGCGAGCGUGACGGCGCGAGCAGGUGCGAAAGCAGGUCAUAGUGAUCCGGUGGUUCUGAAUGGAAGGGCCAUCGCUCAACGGAUAAAAGGUACUCCGGGGAUAACAGGCUGAUACCGCCCAAGAGUUCAUAUCGACGGCGGUGUUUGGCACCUCGAUGUCGGCUCAUCACAUCCUGGGGCUGAAGUAGGUCCCAAGGGUAUGGCUGUUCGCCAUUUAAAGUGGUACGCGAGCUGGGUUUAGAACGUCGUGAGACAGUUCGGUCCCUAUCUGCCGUGGGCGCUGGAGAAUUGAGGGGGGCUGCUCCUAGUACGAGAGGACCGGAGUGGACGCAUCACUGGUGUUCGGGUUGUCAUGCCAAUGGCACUGCCCGGUAGCUAAAUGCGGAAGAGAUAAGUGCUGAAAGCAUCUAAGCACGAAACUUGCCCCGAGAUGAGUUCU
Molecule: ribosomal RNA, 2771 nt
Filed under: Klebsiella pneumoniae
Lineage: Bacteria; Pseudomonadati; Pseudomonadota; Gammaproteobacteria; Enterobacterales; Enterobacteriaceae
Description: bacterial LSU rRNA
Rfam family: Bacterial large subunit ribosomal RNA
Source: RNAcentral